AAAUAACGAUUAAUCAGAUGGUUCUAGCAGCAUCCGGAUUCUCCGGAAUUGCACACGGGAACUGCCUCCUCUGCUCCCCAAACUUGGUGCAGCCCGAAUGGAAGAACCGGGUCGCUGCUCCGACCCCCACCUUUGGACUGCGCGAUGUAGAUGAGCCGGCUGAAGAUCUUGCGCAUGCGCGGCUUCAGGGCGAAGUUCUUGGCGCCCCCGGUCACGGAAAUGACCAGGUUGGGUGUUUUCAGGUGCCAGUGCUGGGUCAGCAGCUCGUAGAGGAUUUCUGCGUCCGUGUCGCAGGACAGACGGAUAUACUAUGGGGGGAGGAGCAGAAGCAUCGAGAUAAGCCUGUGUUCUCCUGAGGUCGGGGUUUAGCAUCCGCGCCAACACCCCGCCCACGCUUGCCUGCUUCUAGAAGAGGGGCGGGGUGGGGGCAGCAGGGAUCGUGGCACUGGGAGUCCCAGGCGGGGGCCAUGCCAAGGACCCACGAGGAAUGGAAGUGUGAAAGGAAAAUAAAUCUUGGGGCCCGAAAAUUCAAGCUAGGAAUUGCUUGGGACAAACCUGCCUCCCACUCUAUUCAAAGUCACCCCUCAGCUCGCAGAGAUGAAUGCAGAUCUCAUUCCCUCCUUUGGAGAGGCUAAUCAGAAACUCAGAAGAAUGCAACCGUUUGUCUCUCGUCUACUUAUGACCCGGAAGCCCCCUCCCGUUUCGAGUUGUCCCGCCUUUGCCUGAUUUUGUGAACUUUCCUCAUACCAACUAAAUGCAGUAUUGAGCCAGGCAAGAGGGCAUCACAGAGAGGAUGGAAGCGGGAAGCGGGUCUUUCUUGCUGCUGCCAGCCCUGCAAUGAGAGUGAGGUGCCUGCCUCCCCUGCCGAUGGUGAGCCUCCACCAUAUGUUCCCAAUAGUGUUUUCCAGUGUGUGGCUUUUGCCCACCUGCACCAGCAUUUCCGGGAGCACAGGCUGGAAAUGAAGCUCCAGGGCCCACCCUAGACCGUUGAACUAGGAUCUCUUGGUGGGUCUGAAGAACAUGGCAAUUCUCCAGUUGAGAAGAAGUGCUGUUAGAAGAAAUGCUGUCACCCAACAGGAACAAGGUAAAAACACAGCCUGCUGGGUGGGGGUGAAUGUGCUGUGCUGGGAUCGAAGGAGAACAGGCAGGAACUUGGCAAAGACACAGAGAAGUGGUCACACCACCGGGGGGAGGCUCUUGGAUUUCAUCUCCAAGGCUCAUUGCCUGGUGUUGUCUACACAAGGAGGGCGAGAAGGAAAAAAAUAAAAGGUCAAUACAAGCAAUUUUGCCCAGAGCUUGGGCUCCUUCUGCACCAUACUGGCUCUGAGCUACUGAGAUCCCUUGGGUUACAGGAGAGCUUUCCUAGCAACUUGUGUCCUCAAAGAAUCCCUCUAAAAAGCAGUGAAUUGCCUGUUCACAUCCAGAGAAUGGGCAACCCCAGGGCCCAGUAGCCCCCAUGCCUCCAGCCACACAGCUUGGGGCCACACAGCUCCUUCAGACUCUGGUCUCUCUGUGUCUCUUCUGGCCUCAAGCAAGAAGUUCUUUCUCCAGUCCUGAGUUCAAGGUUCAAUGGCCAGAUGGCCAUUGGCCUCAGGUUGGAUUGUCCUUGGCCCUUUAUUUAAGCUUCACAUCUUCCCAGAUCCCCUGUGGGUGACCUCACGAGGCAUCUAUCGAGCUCCAUGCCUCUUUAGAGAUUAAGUUUGUAUUGAAUAAAUUGGGAAUGUGAAAAUAUCAGUACCAGCCCCAGGGAACUAUCCUUCUACCAAUGCUAUAAACUUAAAGAACUGUCCAUGAGCCUGAGUAAUAAAACGUGACAUUUUAAUGGGUAUAUGAAGGGGACAGAUGCUUUUAUUCUAUUAUAAUGGCUGUAAUUUUAAUGAGUUUUUCACAAUUUGCUUUAUUCAAGUGAGGGUUUUUAUAAGAUUGUCCCAAUUCUUAUUCUCUUGUUCGAUCUCAACCAACGUGAUUUACUCUUUUCUAACUAUAAAUGAAUCCUACUAUUGUAUUUACAUAAAUGUCUUUAUCAUCAUUGUUCUUUCUUUUUAACCUGAUAUAGUUGCCAUUCUGAACUCUAUCUUAAAGGAAUUAUUUUCAUCCUUUCAUUAAAUGUGAAAGAAAGCUGAUUUUCUUUUGCCCACUGCCAUCUUUCUCCAAGGAAGAGAAUGGAACAUGAAUGGGGCCUUGCAGUAAUAACCACAGAUCUCAGUUUCUAUUCUGACAUGAUUAGUUACUGUAGGAAAAACACCUCUUUUCUCAGUUAUCCAGAAGACAUUCAGGGGAAUACCAUUUUUGUACUUAAGCAUAUUAAGGAAACUGCACAGAACAGACUCAAUUGUGGUGAAUGUUAAGGUGCAUAUCCCAAUGGCCUCACUAUAUAAGAAUUAACAUCUUGCUCAAAGGAUUAAGCAAUUGGCAUCUUAGUGGGUCACUGACGGAACCAGGGCAGAGUUUUGGCUCUCUCUGAUGUGUUGUAUAAUGUAAGUUACCAAGCCCUACAUUGAUGAGUCUUUCUGAUGUCACAGCUUUUGUGACACUGCUUCAGGCACGGUACUACAGUAGUGAACAUGGCAGAUCACACCCCUUCCCCAGGGAGCCCACAUCCCAGACAGGGGGACAGAAAAACAGCAAACAAAAAUGCCAGUAGUGCCAAGUAAUAUAAAAAAUAAAACAGGGGAAAGGAAUAGACAGCGGCAGGAUGGGUUUUUUUUCAGAUCUACGGUCCAAAGAAGUCUUUCUGCAGAGGCAGGAGGCCUAGAGGAGAGCAGCAAGAAGAGCAGAGCUGAGUCAAGACACCCAGGGGACAAAGCAGGAGCUUUCGACUCUUUCAUGGUCGUGAGGAGCUUUCCUCAGUCAUCCCAGGUGCAAGGGGCCACGUGAAGCUUUUCAGCGAACUUUCUAUCAGGUAUCCAAGUUGCUUCGCAUGCAAGAACCCACACUAGAACUUGGAACAAGAAUAAACAGUAGGUGAUACAGGCAGAAAUAGAGAUGGAGACAGAAAUGGAGUCAGAGACAGAGAUGGAGAUGAGAAUGGAGGUGGAGAUGGAGUUGGGGAUGGAGAGAGAGAAUAGAGAUGUCAAUUAACAAAGACCAAGAAUAACACAGACUCCGAGACCAAAGGAUUUGAUGUCCACCUACAUAAAUGUAAACAAUGACAA
Non-coding RNA from Macaca mulatta (Rhesus monkey), 3155 nucleotides. Lineage: Eukaryota; Metazoa; Chordata; Mammalia; Primates; Cercopithecidae. The record is from RefSeq and is a predicted model, not a curated record.